AACGGCGGUCCUACGUGGCAGUCCAAAUGAGUUUUAAAUGCCAACUUGGAUGUCCUACGUGGCAGUCCAAAUUAAAUUUAUUUAAUUAAAAACCUAUUUUUAUUUCAACAACUAGACAUCCAAGUUAACAUUUAGAACUCAUUUAGAUUGCCAUGUAGGACUGUCGUUAGGGAAAUAACAGAGUUUAAUAAUAGAGUGGCCACUUCGUAAUAAAACGAUAACAUAAGUGACUAAAAUGUAAUUUCAAAUGUAAGUGACUAAAAUGUAAUCUGAGCAAACAAAAGUGACUAUUUUUGUAGUUUAUCCUAAAUUAAUAAUAAAGUAUUAAUAUUUCUAUUUUUUAAAAUUAUUUUUCAAACUUUACAGAUCUUAAAAUUAUUUGAAAUUAAUAUAAUUUAAUAGACAUAUAUAACAAACUCGUGCAUCGCACAAGAUAAAAAUAUAUAUACUACAGCAAUUUAAAGUUACAAUUAAUGUAGAGUCAAGAGUGCCCUCUUAGGUUUCCCUAAGAAAUAGUGAAUACUGUGGUUGGGAAGAAGACGAGCGGUGACUCUGAAACGAUGGAUAAUAGGAACGAGAUUACUCUCCUUAAAGAAGAAUUAAUUCAAUUAACAGCGAAAAGUUCGUUAGUCACUCCAUCCGAGAAUCCGACGCUGAUCUGUUCGAUUUGGACAAGGAAAUCGUAUAAUCUAGACAAUCUGAGAGCGCAAUUAAGGAGUAUCUGGAAAACAAAAAAGAAGUUUGAGAUUCUUAUUACUGGUCAGAAUUUAUUUACAAUUUCUUUCGAAGAUGAGGAAGAUUUAGAACAGAUCUUGGAGGGCCGCCCAUGGUUUUUCCAAGAACAAUUAAUCAUCUUCGAUAAAUUGACAAAACCUGUAGAACGUAAUAAGAUUCAAUUGAUUUUCUCUCCUUUCUAGUUAAAGGUUGCCCCAUGUCCACCUGAGUAUGAUAAGAAACAUUUGAUACAUGCAACUGAAUCUACCUUUAGGGGAGUAAUUCGAGCCGAGAUAAAGAGGGAAUUCUGCCGAAUUAGAGUUAAUUUGAAUAUUCAAAAAUAGCUGAGAAGAGGUAUUUUUGUUUCUCCGAAUGGAAGAGGGAAAAUCUUGUUAUCCUUUAAUUAUGAAAAUCUCCCAACUUUCUGCUUUGGUUGUGGAUGGAUGGGUCAUGGGGUUAAAGAAUGUUUCGAAAAACAAUUUAGAGAAUGCAGUAGGACAGAAGAUGAAUAUCCUUUCUCGCUAGCACUUAAGGCAGAAUCUUCCAUUAUUGGGAAAGAAAGCUUAAUACUUGGCUCACUAAUGAAAAAAUCAAUGAAGUAGUGUUUUUUUCAUAGGGGAAGAAGCGGCGAACAAAGAGGCUGAUCUACUACUGGGAGCGACGUACCUGCCUCACUGGCUGGAGAAGGAAGUGGUUUCGAAAUAGGAUUCUAUGAUUCAGGAAAUGAAAAAUGUAACACCCCUUACCCGUAUCCAAGGCCGGAACAGGGUACGAGGCAUUACCAGACUUAACCAUACACAUAGACGAAAACCAGGCCAUAAAAUUUCAUUUAAUUCAAAACUUUUCGAAUACAUACAUUGACUCAUAUUUAAAGACAUAUAACGUAACAUAAAUGAGCACUUACACAUCCAUAAUCAUGCAAUAACAUGUCAUUCACUUUAAACAUAUUUGCUUACCAUGCUGUAUAUAAUAUACAUUCUUACAUUAACUAGAACUAGACAUGCUAAAUCUUAUUCUCAUUUUAUACCAUCAUAAUGUAGUUACCAAUUUGUCCAUUAAACAUCCAUAUUCAAGGAAACAUUACUCAUUUCCAUUUAAUUCAUAAUCAACUGGCCUGCAUUUAACUUACUGGAUGUAUUACCAAUCAUGCAUAACAAACAAAACUAACUAUAUCAUCACAUCAAAACAUAAAACAUGGCAUGAUUAAUUAAACUUAUAAACCAUAAUGGAUAAAGACCACAUCUCAUGAUCAUAUACGAUAACUCAAUGCAGACUGAUACAUAUGAUCAAAGUCAUAAUAAUAAUACAUAUCACAAACCAACUUCCUAUGCAUGCCACUCACCUGAUAUUUCUAAUAUUUAAAUUAAUUCCCUCAAAAAUGAUAUUUUGAUAGUGUGAUUUUACCUCUGACGAUCUCUAACCCUGAACCGACCUUCCAAUACUAAAGAAAUGGAGAGAAUGGAUAAGCUUUACGCUUAGUAAGUCCAUAUGAAAUUAAUAAGCAAUUACUAACAUGCUUUUCAAGAUAAAAUACUAUAAUUGUACAAUUACACAUGUUUAGGUUAAGCUGUUUUAUCGAGUUAUAGUUACUAAAUCAUUCAUAUAUAAAGCUACAAAACUCUAAAUUUAGUUUUGUUAAUUUUUUUGAAACUAGACUCACAUACCUUUCUCCCAUAAAAUUUUCAAAAUUUUUGGUUUAGCCAAUUAGUAUAGUUUAUUCAUGAAAUUUUCCCCUGUUUUGCUGUCCAAUAGUUCUGACCUCUCUUCACUAAAAAUUAUUUAUCUCAUAUUUCGAAGCUCGGUUGAUGUUCCCGUCCAUUCCUCCUGAAAGUAGACUCAUUUAGGAUUCUAUUCAUAUAAAUUAUAACUCAUAAUUAUUUUUUUACAAUUUUUAACGAUUUUUCCAAGUCAAAACAGGAGAUCUCAAAUUCAUUUUGACACUGUCUCACAAAAAUUAGAAUAUCACAUAAUAUAGAACUAUUUUGCUCCCCCUGUUUCUUUUAUAUGAAAAUAGACUCAUUAAUCUUUAAUUCCAUAAUUUUUUUGAAAUUCAAUUCAACUUACAUAAUAUUUUGUGAAUUUUUAAAGUCACACAACUGCUGCUGUCCAACACUGUUUUACUACUAAAAUUCACUUACAUAAUUUCACUUAAUCCAUUUUGUCUUAUCGAAGUUCACUCAAAUAUCGAGCACAUUGCUCAUAAUUUUCAUAAACAUAUACCUGCAAUUAUUCACCAUAUAAUCAUGUUCAAAUAUAUUUUUACUUAAUCGAUUUUCCCGUUGAACUCUUUGGAAUAAAAACUGAUACUCAGUUGCCUGCACAUAUUUUCACUUGUAGACAAGGCUAUCUAGUACGCAUAGUAGCCUACACUUAGUACUACACAUGCGACCAAUUAUCCGGUACACGUAGUAGUCUGCACUUAGUAUUACACACGUGACCUAACCAUCUGAUACACGUAGUAGCCUGCACUUAGUACUACACACGUGAUCAAAGUUAUCGGGUACGCAUAGUAGCCUACACUUAGUACUACACAUGCGACCAAUUAUCCGGUACACGUAGUAGCCUGCACUUAGUACUACACACGUAACCUCACAAUAGAUCAUUCGUAUCGUUUCUAUUCCAAAGGCUCAACCGGAAAAUUCCUCACUUUCCAGCAUGUUACAUAUUUAUUCAUAGUCCUUUUUCAAUUUGCAAUUUAUAACAAAUAAUCAUUCUAUAGGCAGUCACAUUUCAUAUGAUAACAAAAUAUAAUAAAAUAAAAAAAAUCGAUAAAUUAUUUACGUACAAACUUGUCGAAAUCUCAUCAGGUACAACCCAUAUAAUAGUAAUUUAACAUUCAAUUCAUGUAACAAUAAUUUGCCAUUCAAUUUCACGACACAACAAGCAUCACAUUUUCCAUAUUAUACACACCAUCCAUCAACUUCUCCUAAACAUAUUAAAUCAUACAAUUUAUGCCAUAACAAUAGAAAAUUACAAUUCAAGUAUGGUAUUGCAUUAUUAUUAACACACGAACUUACCUCGUAUACGAAAAUGGCCAUUUUUACCAUUUUAUCUACAACUUAGUAUUUUGUCAAUUUUAGCUCGAAUUUCAAUUUUCCUUGCUCUAUCAUUACAAAUAUAGCCUAAUUAGGAAUCACAUUAUUCAAAAAAUCAUAUUUUGAUAAAAUUAAAAUUUUGCCCCUAAACUUUGUCAAAAUUACAUUUUUACCCCUAGGCUCAUAAAUUGAACUUCAUCCUAUUUUCUUAUGUUUUAUGACAUGCUGGUCAUUUUUCCCUUCUAUAACAACAUCAAAUUCACACUCUAACAUGUACUUAUGAACAUUAGGUAUUUUUACCGAUUAUGUCGUUUUACUCAUUUUCACGUAAAAUCGCUUAGUAAAAGUUGUUUAACACAAUUUCAAGCUUCAUAUUUUACCAUAAAACAUAAAAAAUAAACACAUUUCACCUAUGGGUAUUUUUUUAAAUAUAAACCUUUGGUUAAAUUAUUGCUAGAUUAAGCUUAACCAAGUUACCAGGAUUUCAAAAAUAUAAAGAACUUUAAAAACGGAGCUAAGGAGCACUUAGAAUCGAGCUUGGGAGUUUGAACAAACCUUAACCAUGGCUGCUGCUGGUAAAAAUGGUUAAAUGAAGAAGAUGAUAGCUAAUUUGGCUUAUUUCCCUUUUUAAUUCUUUUAAUUAUUAGUUUACCAAAAUACCCUUAACUUAAAAAUAUUUUAUUACUCAUUUCAUGUCUAUUUUUGUACAGAAAUUAACCAAUGGUCUAAUUACCAUUUAAGGACCCUCAAUUUAAAAUUUCAUAACAAUUGGACACCUCUAGUAUGUAGAACUCAACUUUUACACUUUUUACGAUUUAGUCCUUUUAACUAAAUUAAGUACCCGGAUGUCAAAAUUUUCAAACGAAAUUUUCACGAAAUUAUCCCGUAAAAUCGUAGACCAUAAAAAUAUAAUAAAAAUAAAUUUUUUGUCGUCAGAUUUUUGGUCUCGAAACCACUGUUCCGACUAAGCCCAAAAUUAGAGUGUUACAGAAAAAUUACAAGAACACUCUAGAGAUAACGAUGAAAGAAUUUUGCUGCAAUAUCACCUAUAAAAGGGAAGGAAACUUUAAGAGAUAAUGAUGGAAAAAUCUCGCCUCAAAAUUUACCUAUAAAAGGGGAGGCACAAUUAAACAACAAUUGACACAAUAUUGAAGAUGGCCAAAAGUAAACUCAAUGCAAAUGGGGCUUACAGAAGAGGUAGAUGAAUCUAACACAAGCUGGUUAACACAAGCUGGUAUAAUAAUGAUGAUCAUUUUAAAAUUAAUUCUAAACUUGUGGGACCCAAUAGCCCAAUAGAGUUGCUCCAGUUGGGCCACAAGAAAAAAAAAAUAGGCAUCGUUUAUCCAACAGGGGUAAAAGAGAUUCAAAUAUCGGUGAAUUUAUAAAUGGAAAACGAAAAUUUGAUCAAGUGGCAGAGAUAGCUUCAGAAUCAAAUGUUGAAGAUACAACUAAAAAAGAAAAAUACGACGAUGGGAAUAUGAAAGGUUGUACAACAUUAGCAGAGUCUCAGGUUUUCAUGGAGGACGAUGCUAAAUUUUCAUAAAGUAUAUCAGCGGCUGGCAAAUGGCCAGCUAACCGGGAACAAUGAAAAUCCUUUGCUGGAAUGUCUGAGGAUUGGGGAAUCCUCAGACGAAGGCUUCAACACUCGUUGAAGCUUUAUAAACACCAAAUGGUCUUCUUAAUGGAGACAAAAUUGGACAGCAUUCGAAUGGAACAUUUUCAAAAACGAUGUGGCUUUCAAAAUGGAAUGGAUAUUUCAGCAAGUGGUUCAUGUGGUGGAUUAAGUCUUGCAUGGAAUGGAAAUAAUUUAGUUCAAUUUUAUAGCUAUUCAAACAAUCAUUGAUGUGGAGAUUAAUGAAGAGGAUAUCCCAAACAAGUGGCGAUUCACUGGAUUUUAUAGUAAUCCAAAUCAAUCAAGCAAACAGGAGUCGUGGAAUCUUCUUCGUAGAUUAAGGAAUAAUGGGUCAUCACCAUAGUGUAUGUGGAGACUUUAAUGAGAUUAUGUAUGCACAUGAAAAAAUGGGAGGGAUAACAAAGAAUGAGAGACAAAUGGAGGAAUUUCGAAAAGCUUUGGAAGACUGUGAUCUGGCUGACAUGGGUUUCAGUAGACAAAAGUUUACUUGGGAUAGGGGUAACUUUGCAGAUACAAAUAUAAAAGAACGACUUGACAAGGGAGUUACAAAUCGAGAGUGGCUGAACUUGUUUCCUGAGUACUCGGUUCAACAUUUUUCUCUGAUCAUUACCCAAUUUUCAUCCAAACAAUGCCAAAUGUAAAAAGCACUAGAGGUAAUUUUUUUAUAUUCGAAUCUUGGUGGGUAAUUAAGCCAUCAUACAAAGAAGUCAUCUUGGUGACAGAAGCACUCUAGUAAUGUUUUGGAAAAAUUAGAGUAUACCCGUUUGGGUUUAUAGAAAUAGGCGAAAAACAUCAAAGGAGAUCCUGAAAGGAGAUCGAAGUUUCUAAGAGGUAGAUUGGCUGAACUUGAUAGAAAGGAUAGGGAUGAUGAUAUCCUUGUAGAGAUCAUUGAUGUGAAGUUAGAAUUAAACUGGGAGAUAGAGAAGGAGGAGAUGUAUUGGGAACAGAGAGCAAGAUCGAAUUGGUUGAGUUAAGAGGAUAGAAAUACGACUUUUUUUCAUAGUUAAGCAUUUCAAAGAUGUAGAAUGAAUAGAAUAAGAGGGAUGGAAGUUAACGAAGGAAUUCUCAAAAUAGAAGAAGAAGAAUAUUAGAAAACAUAAUAAGAAACUACUUCAUGAAGCUUUUUGAAUCUAAAGGAGUUGGCGAUACAAAUUACCUUCUUUCAGGUGUUAAUUGCACUAUCACUAAAAGCAUGAAUCAACUGUUGGUAGGAAAUUAUAAAGAGGAGGAAAUAAUUGAAGCAAUAAAUAGUAUAAGGCCGACAAAAGCUUCUAGACCUAAUGGAUUUUUUGCCAUCUUCUUUCAAAAACUCUGGCAUAUCGUAGAGAGGGAGGUAGGUGAUUUUUGUUUGGAAGUUCUUAACAAAGGAAAACCCUCAGAUCUUUUAAACCAUACGAAUAUUGUGCUAAUCCCAAAGAACCCCCAUCCGAAAAGUCCAUCAGAAUUUAAACCAAUUAGCCUUUGUUCGAUUUUUUAUAAAAUAAUCUCAAAAUCUAUAACAAACAGGUCCCAAAAAUUACUCGAUUAUUGUAUUGAUCCGACUUAAAGUGUCUUUGUACCGGUAGAUUAAUUACCGGUAUGCCCUUCUUGCAUAUGAAAUUCUACAUUCUAUGAGGAAUAAAGGAUUGGGAAAAAAGGUCUUACGGCUCUUAAGAUUGAUUUGAGCAAAGCCUAUGAUCGGGUGGAGUGGGAUUUCUUGAAGCAAAUGAUGGCUAAAAUAGGAUUUGAUGAGUCUUGGAUUCAGCUUAUUAUGAAAUGCAUCAGCAUUGUUUCGUACUCGAUCAUUUUGAACGAGAGGCCAUGGAAGGUUUUUAAUUCGGGAAGAGGCCUAAGUCAAGGGGAUCCUUUGAGCCCUUUUCUAUUUUCUCAUAUGCAGUGAGGGGCUGUCUACAUUAUUAAGACUUGCUAGUGAAGAAGGAAUAUUGAGAGGAGUAAAAGCGAGUAAAAGAAGCUCACAGAUUAUUCACCUCCUUUUUACGGAUGAUUGUGUUUUAUUUGGGGAAGCAACUGAAAAAGGUACAGAGACUUUUGAAAAGGUUUUAAAGGAAUAUGAAGUAUGCUCAGGGCAAUGCAUCAAUUAUGGAAAGUCGAUAGUUUUCUUUAGCUCAAAUACAACUGAAAUAAUUCGUUCAGCUAUUUCAGAUAGGCUGGGGGUCAAAUGGAAAAACAAUUUAGAGAAAUAUCUGGGCUUUCCGAAUAUGGUAGGUAGGAGGAAAAGGCUAGCAUUCCAACACCUUAAAGACCAUAUUAAAGUAAAAAUUGACUAUUGGAGUUCUCGAUUACUAUCGCAAGGGGGAAAAGAAGUUUUUAUUAAAGCUGUGUUACAAGCAAUUCCAACCUAUACAAUGGGAUGCUUUUUAUUACCGAAGUCAAUAUGUGAAGUUAUGGAACAAAUAAUAUCCAAGUUUUCGUGGAAAAACGGUUAUGGGAAAUGGGGGAUACAUUGGUGCUCAUGGAAUAACUUAUACGAAUUAAAGGAGUUUGGUGGUCUUGGUUAUCGUAAUUUUGCAAAGUUUGAUUUCGCCAUCCUCGCAAAGCUAGGAUGGAGAUUGAUUGAAAAUCCUAAAUCUUUUCUAGCACAGACGUUAAAAGCCAAAUAUUACCAGAAUUUUGAUUUUCUAAACUCAGAGCUAGGGAAUUUACCUUUAUAUACUUGGAAAAGUAUAUGGGCUGCAAAAGGUCUUUUGCAAACAGGACUAUGCUGAAGGGUGGGCAAUGGAUGGAAUAUUAGAGUUGAAGAAGAUGUAUGGGCUCCAAAUGGAAAAAAUCUGCAUAUUCAACAAUUAGUCAGAAGCCAAAAUAUAUUGAAGGUAGCAGACCUGAUUGAUAGCAACACUAGAUCAUGAAAAACAAAGCUAAUUAAAGAUACCUUUUCUGAAGAAGAUGCUCAGAGAAUUCUCCAAAUCCCAAUAGCUUACUCUCCACAGGAUGAUUUUCUGGCUUGGAGAGGUGAAUCAACAGGCGAGUACAUGUAAGGAGUGGGUAUAAAUUAUUAUUACAUGGUAAUUCUAUCAAUAACAAUAGAUACAACCCGAAUGAAAAUAGGAAAUGCUACAAAAAAAUAGUGGAAUAGUGAUCUCCCCUCAAAAUUAAUAAUUAUAGCUUGGAGAGCCACUCUAAACUACCUUCCUACAUUAGCAAAUCUAAGAACUAAAAGGUUAAUUAUUAAUGAAUCCGUCUGCCUGAGGUGUCUGCAAGGAGUGGAGAAUAGAGAACACGUCUUCCACGAAUGUGUUGUCUUAAAGGAAACAUGGGAUAACUUAAAAUUUGUCUGGCCUGAGGAUACAUCUACUAUGGAAUUCAUGGAAUGGUUUACCUGGAUUGUAUUAAACAGUAAUACUGAUAUCUGCCAAACUUUUAUUUGCACCAUCUGGGUUAUCUGGUCUGCUAGGAACAAAUAGAUUCACAAAGGUCAAAAAAUAUCAGGUGCCGAAACAACAAAAUUUACUUUAAAGUACUUACAAGAUCUAAACAACAUUAAUCGAAAAAAGCUUACCUUUAGUCCAAUAGUUGCAAAAUGGAGGCCUCUGGAGAAGGGUUUCUGCAAAAUCAAUUUUGACGCAACAGUUGACCUCAAAAUGCAAAGAUCAUGUUUGGGACUCAUAGUCAGAGAUUGGAGUGGGGAAAUCUUAGCCACAAAAACCAUAACUCAUGAGAAUAUACCUUUAGGGUUUGUAGCCAAAGCCGUUGCAUGUUUACAGACGGUUAUACUAGGCAGGGAUUUGGGAUUAAAAUUUGUCGAUAUUGAAGGGGACUCCUUGACAGUGAUAAAAAAAGCCCAAAACAAAAGCAGGGAUAAAUCGAUAAUAGGUGCAUACAUUCAAGACAUUCAAAAACUGAGUAAGAUUUUCUAUGAGAGCAAGUUUCAUUAUAUAAGACGAAAAGCAAAUGAGAAAGAGCACGAUCUGGCAUCAAAAGGCUUAAAAAUGGUAGGAAAUGCUUACCUUGCUCACAAAACAGUUGAUGAAGGAAUCACAGAAGCAGAGAUAGAUCGGGGAUGGGGAUGAAGAAUACCAAAAGGUUUAUGAUUUAGAGAAGAAAACUUAAUUGCUACCAGUCUUUUGUUCUUCUCCAGAAGCUGUUAAUGAUGAAUGAGAUAUUUUAGAGAGAUUUCUAGAAAACACCAGCUCAUUAAUACUGGGUUGUCU
Molecule: long non-coding RNA, 9530 nt
Filed under: Gossypium barbadense (sea-island cotton)
Lineage: Eukaryota; Viridiplantae; Streptophyta; Magnoliopsida; Malvales; Malvaceae
Description: long non-coding RNA (GBAR_LNC005292)
Source: RNAcentral